UUCAGUGCCCUGUCCACCGAUGAAUAUCACCUUCACGGGUGACAGUUCCUCUGCCACAGUGGCCUGGAGGUCCUCAGCUCUUACCACAGGAUACAGGGUUUACCAGCUGAGCUCUCAGAUAACAAGUCAAACUUGCCAUGCUGGAAAAAAAAACAGUCUAAGGUUGUAUUAAGCAGACUGGUCUCAGAAGAAUAAGAAGUUUGUAUAGAACAUGCUAUAAAUAUUCUCUCUUGAUAUAUUACUCUGUACUCUCCUUCAGUGCCCUGUCCACCGAUGAAUAUCACCUUCACGGGUGACAGUUCCUCUGCCACAGUGGCCUGGAGGUCCUCAGCUCUUACCACAGGAUACAGGGUUUACCAGCUGAGCUCUGACGGCAGGGUGCCUGUCUGUCUCACCUCAAACCUCAGCUGUGAGGUCUCUGGCCUGCAGGCCUCUAAUGUUGCUGUGACAGCCUGGAACAGUGCAGGAGAAAGUUUUGCAUCUAGAGUAGCUACUGGUCAAACCUCAAACCGUCGGAAGAGGAAUCUGGAAUAUGCAAGGAUGUAUGCAUCACUGACCCCUGAACAGCUGGCCGUCCCUGAGGUGAAGGUUGCUGUGACAGGACAGUCACUACAGGUGGAGUGGUCUCGGGUGACAGGGGCGGAGUCCUACACUCUGAUUGUAUACGAGGACAGCGAAGAACAGCUGACGGAGGUUGUGUCCGUGUACAGGACUGAGAUUGCUACAGUUACUGAGCUAGAGCAUGCAACACUUUACUGCAUCAUCGUGUCUGCCAAAAACGACAACAUCCAGAGUGCCUAUUCCCAGCCUGUGUGUGUCAUUACUGAUGCCUCUGAGUAAACUUGCUUCCUGCAGGGUGGACUGUACAGGACUGUAGAUACAAAACAAACCAAAGUGGUGUUGAGUUCUCUGAACUAGCAUCUUCUCUUUCUUAUAUUCCAUGAUUACUACUAAAAAGACAACAAAAUCAGCCUAUUUGUCGUAGCAGAAAAUCUAAACAAAUAUACUAGUUAAGAAUUAUUGACUGAUUAUGUCUCCUUAACUAAUCCUUUUCCAAUGAACCCAAUCAUAAUAAAACAAACUACUGAAUUUCUAUGGUUAUAUUUAAUAUAUAAUCAUUUCUGUUGAUUGAAAAACAUAGGCAUGGUCACUUAAAAUGAAGAAUAGAUGUGAAGAGAAUAUACAUUGAUUGGCCAUAGAAACAUGUUAUACUGUAACACAGUUUUUAAAGAAAGUUGUGUAUUUAUCUUAACAAGUCACUUUCUGUAACCAGCUCAUAAAAUGAUUUAAUCAAGAAUGUUUGUGUAGCUAGAUCAAAUAAAUGGUUAAUUUAUCCAGCAUUUUUUUUAAACCAUACAUUGUAUUUUCUGAUGUAUACGUGGCGCUGUUAACGAUCUGAAAUAGUACUUUUAUACAUAAAGCCAUAUGAAAGGUUUAAAGUCUGUGAAUGAAAACAUCACACGCGAUGUACUAAUAAUUAGAAUCUUCAUCUUUUCUUAUAAUCACCUAAGUAUAACGCAACAUUUUUUUCUUCUAAAAAAAUCAUGCUGCAUGAUUUUUCUUUAACAAUCUGAAAUUAAGAUUUUUCCCCCAGCCA
RNAcentral lists this long non-coding RNA (1597 nucleotides) under Sinocyclocheilus grahami. RNAcentral's name for it is "lncRNA (ENSSGRG00000009865.1)". The record is from RNAcentral. Lineage: Eukaryota; Metazoa; Chordata; Actinopteri; Cypriniformes; Cyprinidae.